This 468-nucleotide ribosomal RNA is filed under the name uncultured bacterium. RNAcentral's name for it is "partial 16S ribosomal RNA". It matches the Rfam family "Bacterial small subunit ribosomal RNA", at positions 28 to 507 of the family's 1533-position model. The record is from RNAcentral.
GACGAACGCUGGCGGCGUGCUUAACACAUGCAAGUCGAACGGAAAGGCCCUGCUUUUGUGGGGUGCUCGAUUGGCGAACGGGUGAGGAACACGUGAGUAACCUGCCCUUGACUUUGGGAUAACUUCAGGAAACGGGGGCUAAUACCGGAUAGGAGCUCCUGUUGCAUGGUGGGGGGUGGAAAUUUUAGGCGGGUGGGGAUGGACUCGCGGCUUAUCGGCUUGUUGGUGGGGUAGGGGCUUACCAAGGCUUUGACGGGUAGCCGGCCGGGGAGGGUGACCGGCCACAUUGGGACUGCGAUAGGGACCAGACUGCUACGGGAGGCAACAGUGGGGAAUAUUGCACAAUGGGCGGACGCCUGAUGCAGCAACGCCGCGUGCGGGAUGACGGCCUUCGGGUUGUAAACCGCUUUCGCCUGUGACGAAGCGUGAGUGACGGUAAUGGGUAAAGAAGCACCGGCUAACUACGUG